This 484-nucleotide ribosomal RNA is filed under the name uncultured bacterium. RNAcentral describes it as "partial 16S ribosomal RNA". It matches the Rfam family "Bacterial small subunit ribosomal RNA", at positions 30 to 507 of the family's 1533-position model. The record is from RNAcentral.
AUUGAACGCUGGCGGCAGGCCUAACACAUGCAAGUCGAGCGGAUGAAGGGAGCUUGCUCCUGGAUUCAGCGGCGGACGGGCGAGUAAUGCCUAGGAAUCUGCCUGGUAGUGGGGGAUAACGUCCGGAAACGGGCGCUAAUACCGCAUACGUCCUGAGGGAGAAAGUGGGGGAUCUUCGGACCUCACGCUAUCAGAUGAGCCUAGGUCGGAUUAGCUAGUUGGUGGGGUAAAGGCCUACCAAGGCGACGAUCCGUAACUGGUCUGAGAGGAUGAUCAGUCACACUGGAACUGAGACACGGUCCAGACUCCUACGGGAGGCAGCAGUGGGGAAUAUUGGACAAUGGGCGAAGGCCUGAUCCAGCCAUGCCGCGUGUGUGAAGAAGGUCUUCGGAUUGUAAAGCACUUUAAGUUGGGAGGAAGGGCAGUAAGUUAAUACCUUGCUGUUUUGACGUUACCAACAGAAUAAGCACCGGCUAACUUCGUG